AUUUGAUCCUGGCUCAGGACGAACGCUGGCGGCGUGCCUAAUACAUGCAAGUAGAACGCUGAAGGAGGAGCUUGCUUCUCUGGAUGAGUUGCGAACGGGUGAGUAACGCGUAGGUAACCUGCCUGGUAGCGGGGGAUAACUAUUGGAAACGAUAGCUAAUACCGCAUAAGAGUGGAUGUUGCAUGACAUUUGCUUAAAAGGUGCACUUGCAUCACUACCAGAUGGACCUGCGUUGUAUUAGCUAGUUGGUGGGGUAACGGCUCACCAAGGCGACGAUACAUAGCCGACCUGAGAGGGUGAUCGGCCACACUGGGACUGAGACACGKCCCAGACUCCUACGGGAGGCAGCAGUAGGGAAUCUUCGGCAAUGGACGGAAGUCUGACCGAGCAACGCCGCGUGAGUGAAGAAGGUUUUCGGAUCGUAAAGCUCUGUUGUAAGAGAAGAACGAGUGUGAGAGUGGAAAGUUCACACUGUGACGGUAUCUUACCAGAAAGGGACGGCUAACUACGUGCCAGCUGCCGCGGUAAUACGUAGGUCCCGAGCGUUGUCCGGAUUUAUUGGGCGUAAAGCGAGCGCAGGCGGUUAGAUAAGUCUGAACUUAAAGGCUGUGGCUUAACCAUAGUAGGCUUUGGAAACUGUUUAACUUGAGUGCAAGAGGGGAGAGUGGAAUUCCAUGUGUAGCGGUGAAAUGCGUAGAUAUAUGGAGGAACACCGGUGGCGAAAGCGGCUCUCUGGCUUGUAACUGACGCUGAGGCUCGAAAGCGUGGGGAGCAAACAGGAUUAGAUACCCUGGUAGUCCACGGUGUAAACGAUGAGUGCUAGGUGUUAGACCCUUUCCGGGGUUUAGUGCCGUAGCUAACGCAUUAAGCACUCCGCCUGGGGAGUACGACCGCAAGGUUGAAACUCAAAGGAAUUGACGGGGGCCCGCACAUGCGGUGGAGCAUGUGGUUUAAUUCGAAGCAACGCGAAGAACCUUACCAGGUCUUGACAUCCCUCUGACCGCUCUAGAGAUAGAGUUUUCCUUCGGGACAGAGGUGACAGGUGGUGCAUGGUUGUCGUCAGCUCGUGUCGUGAGAUGUUGGGUUAAGUCCCGCAACGAGCGCAACCCCUAUUGUUAGUUGCCAUCAUUCAGUUGGGCACUCUAGCGAGACUGCCGGUAAUAAACCGGAGGAAGGUGGGGAUGACGUCAAAUCAUCAUGCCCCUUAUGACCUGGGCUACACACGUGCUACAAUGGCUGGUACAACGAGUCGCAAGCCGGUGACGGCAAGCUAAUCUCUUAAAGCCAGUCUCAGUUCGGAUUGUAGGCUGCAACUCGCCUACAUGAAGUCGGAAUCGCUAGUAAUCGCGGAUCAGCACGCCGCGGUGAAUACGUUCCCGGGCCUUGUACACACCGCCCGUCACACCACGAGAGUUUGUAACACCCGAAGUCGGUGAGGUAACCGUAAGGAGCCAGCCGCCUAAGGUGGGAUAGAUGAUUGGGGUGAAGUCGUAACAAGGUCAGCCGUUUGGGAGA
RNAcentral lists this ribosomal RNA (1515 nucleotides) under Streptococcus pneumoniae. Its description in RNAcentral is "bacterial SSU rRNA". It matches the Rfam family "Bacterial small subunit ribosomal RNA". Lineage: Bacteria; Bacillati; Bacillota; Bacilli; Lactobacillales; Streptococcaceae. The record is from RNAcentral.